CAGCGGAAAAAGGCCACAAAAACGGGUGGGCUAUAGCCUUGGGGGGUGGGGCUGGCAAACUUCGUCCGCCGGACUCGGAAUGGCGCGAGACUUUGCGAGGCACCUCUGUGUGCCAAAACUAGGCCGUGGGCACAGCCGCGCACAAAAAUAACCACCCGAAGGCCGGGGCGCCAAGUUCGUCCAGCGGAAAAAGGCCAUAAAAACGGGUGGGCAAUAGCCUUGCGGGGUGGGGCUGGCCAACUUCGUCCGCCGGACUCGGAAUGGAGCGAGACUUUGCGAGGCGCCUCCGUGUGCCAAAAAUAGGCCGCGGGCACAGCCACGCCCAAAAAUAACCGCCCGAAGGCCGGGGCGCCAAGUUCGUNN
This 363-nucleotide long non-coding RNA is filed under the name Citrus x clementina. Its description in RNAcentral is "Citrus clementina (C. clementina) long non-coding RNA (CCLE_LNC003714)". Lineage: Eukaryota; Viridiplantae; Streptophyta; Magnoliopsida; Sapindales; Rutaceae. The record is from RNAcentral.